GCUCAGACAACAAGUAGCAAAAGAAACACUGACCACUCACAGGCUGGGUAAUUGCAUUCGUUGCUUCUUUUUAUUUCUUGCUCGUCUCCUAGAAAAGAACAACUCUGACUUUGACUUCAUCCUUUCAUUGCAUUAACAUUGACGGGGGACAUGGUCAUUGUCAGGGCUAUGACUUUGCCUGGUGCUCCAUAUACAUUGUUAUCUCAUUCUGUUCUCAUAGCAAUUCUAUAAGUGCUGAAAAAAAUGCAUUGUCCAUACUAAUGACAACCCACUGUGUACCUCCUCCCAUGCUCUCCAGCGGUGCAGCUUGUGGUGGUCAGUUGCCUGUUUUUCCUCGCUGUGAACGCUUUUAAUUAAAAGGAAGGGAUUCAGAACCUGCGGAUGUGGAGGGCCAGAGGGCUGAAUUUGCAAGUUGGGCAAUGGGGAAAGCCUUCACAAAGGAGAAAGCCUUUGGGCUGGAAUUGGAGGAGUAGGAGUCAAUAGAGAGAGAAGAGAGUAAAGGGCAAGGCCAUCAUUCCAGGUUUAGGGAGCAAGUACAAAGACACAGAGAAAUGAAAAGGCUUGGCCUGUUUGGAGAAUGUCAAGCUGUCUGGGGUUGAGAGAAAGACAUUCUAACAAGGCUUCCAUUAAAGAGGCUAGAUUUGCUGCUUGGACAUUUUCUAGCUCUUCUGAGACAACUUUUUGUUGAGUUAAGCGAAAAUGAAUGAAAAUCAGAUGGACCAUAUUUCUCUUGAAUGCACACGGGCUUAAAAACGAAGGGGAAAAAGAACUUGACAGAAUGUGUCUUGGCUUUUGCCAAACCCAAAGUAUUUGAAAAAUCACACAGUACACAUCUCGAACCCAAAAACAUGCCUGGAUUCUACCACCCCUAACUGCAGCUGCAGCCAUUUAAUAAAAUGAAUUGUG
Molecule: long non-coding RNA, 906 nt
Filed under: Homo sapiens (human)
Lineage: Eukaryota; Metazoa; Chordata; Mammalia; Primates; Hominidae
Description: HSALNT0354314
Source: RNAcentral